RNAcentral lists this ribosomal RNA (985 nucleotides) under uncultured bacterium. RNAcentral describes it as "partial 16S ribosomal RNA". It matches the Rfam family "Bacterial small subunit ribosomal RNA", at positions 48 to 1026 of the family's 1533-position model. The record is from RNAcentral.
UUAAUACAUGCAAGUCGUGGGGCAGCAUGAAAGUAGCAAUACUUUUGAUGGCGACCGGCAAACGGGUGCGGAACACGUACACAACCUCCCUCUAAGUAAGGAAUAGCCCAGGGAAACUUGGAUUAAUACUUUAUAGCAUAUUUGAAAGGCAUCUUUCGAAUAUUAAAGCUUCGGCGCUUUGAGAUGGGUGUGCGGCUGAUUAGAUAGUUGGUGAGGUAACGGCUCACCAAGUCUGCGAUCAGUAACUGGUGUGAGAGCACGACCAGUCACACGGGCACUGAGACACGGGCCCGACUCCUACGGGAGGCAGCAGUAAGGAAUAUUGGUCAAUGGACGAAAGUCUGAACCAGCCAUGCCGCGUGGAGGAUGAAGGUCCUCUGGAUUGUAAACUUCUUUUCUCUGUAAAGAAAUGCACGGUUUCUACUGUGUUUGGCGGUAACAGAGGAAUAAGCACCGGCUAACUCCGUGCCAGCAGCCGCGGUAAUACGGAGGGUGCAAGCGUUAUCCGGAUUCACUGGGUUUAAAGGGAGCGUAGGUGGGCAGAUAAGUCAGCGGUGAAAUACCUGAGCUUAACUCAGGAACUGCCAUUGAUACUGUCUGUCUUGAAUAUCGUAGAGGUUAGCGGAAUAUGUCAUGUAGCGGUGAAAUGCUUAGAUAUGACAUAGAACACCGAUUGCGAAGGCAGCUAGCUAUGCGAAUAUUGACACUGAGGCUCGAAAGCGUGGGGAUCAAACAGGAUUAGAUACCCUGGUAGUCCACGCCCUAAACUAUGGAUACUCGACAUUUGCGAUACACUGUAAGUGUCUGAGCGAAAGCAUUAAGUAUCCCACCUGGGAAGUACGACCGCAAGGUUGAAACUCAAAGGAAUUGGCGGGGGUCCGCACAAGCGGUGGAGCAUGUGGUUUAAUUCGAUGAUACGCGAGGAACCUUACCUGGGCUAGAAUGCGGUUUGACCGCUAGUGAAAGCUAGUCUUGUAGCAAUACA